GACGAACGCUGGCGGCGUGCUUAACACAUGCAAGUCGAACGGAAAGGCCCUGCUUUUGUGGGGUGCUCGAGUGGCGAACGGGUGAUUAACCCGUGAGUAACCUGUCCUUGACUUUGGGAUAACUUCCGGAAACUGGGGCUAAUACCGGAUAGGAGCUCCUGCUGCAUGGUGGGGGUUGGAAAGUUUCGGCGGUUGGGGAUGGACUCGCGGCUUAUCAGCUUGUUGGUGGGGUAGUGGCUUACCCAGGCUUUGACGGGUAGCCGGCCUGAGAGGGUGACCGGCCACAUUGGGACUGAGAUACGGCCCAGACUCCUACGGGAGGCAGCAGUGGGGAAUAUUGCACAAUGGGCGGAAGCCUGAUGCAGCAACGCCGCGUGCGGGAUGACGGCCUUCGGGUUGUAAACCGCUUUCGCCUGUGACGAAGCGUGAGUGACGGUAAUGGGUAAAGAAGCACCGGCUAACUACGUG
RNAcentral lists this ribosomal RNA (468 nucleotides) under uncultured bacterium. RNAcentral describes it as "partial 16S ribosomal RNA". It matches the Rfam family "Bacterial small subunit ribosomal RNA", at positions 28 to 507 of the family's 1533-position model. The record is from RNAcentral.